AGUUAAGUUAGAAAGGGCGCACGGUGGAUGCCUUGGCACUAGGAGCCGAUGAAGGACGGGAUUAACACCGAUAUGCUUUGGGGAGCUGUAAGUAAGCUUUGAUCCAGAGAUUUCCGAAUGGGGAAACCCUCUAUCCGUAAUGGGAUAGAAUCUUUACCUGAAUACAUAGGGUACUGAAGGCAGACCCGGGGAACUGAAACAUCUAAGUACCCGGAGGAAGAGAAAGCAAACGCGAUUCCCUGAGUAGCGGCGAGCGAAACGGGAUUAGCCCAAACCAAGAGGCUUGCCUCUUGGGGUUGUAGGACACUCUAUAUGGAGUUACAAAGGAACGGGGUAGACGAAUCGAUCUGGAAAGGUCAGUCGUAGAAGGUAAAAACCCUGUAGUCGAAACUUCGUUCCCUCUUGAGUGUAUCCUGAGUACGGCGGGACACGAGAAAU
Molecule: non-coding RNA, 438 nt
Filed under: Niallia circulans
Lineage: Bacteria; Bacillati; Bacillota; Bacilli; Caryophanales; Bacillaceae
Description: Bacillus circulans Bacterial large subunit ribosomal RNA
Rfam family: Bacterial large subunit ribosomal RNA
Source: Rfam by way of RNAcentral